This 498-nucleotide ribosomal RNA is filed under the name uncultured bacterium. RNAcentral describes it as "partial 16S ribosomal RNA". It matches the Rfam family "Bacterial small subunit ribosomal RNA", at positions 28 to 507 of the family's 1533-position model. The record is from RNAcentral.
GACGAACGCUGGCGGCGUGCCUAAUACAUGCAAGUCGAACGAGAGCGACCGGUGCUUGUGCUGGUCAGUCUAGUGGCGAACGGGUGAGUAACACGUGGGAAAUCUGCCCGUCAGAGGGGGAUAACAUACGGAAACGGAUGCUAAAAGCGCAUACGUCCUCGAGCCGCAUGGCCUGCAGAGGAAAAGAGGCGCAAGCUUCUGCUGAUGGAUGGACCCGGGGUGCAUUAGCUAGUUGGUGAGGUAACGGCUCAGCAAGGCCGUGAUGCAUAGCCGACCUGAGGGGGUGAUCGGCCACAUUGGGACUGAGACACGGCCCAAACUCCUACGGGAGGCAGCAGUGGGGAAUCUUCCGCAAUGGACGCAAGUCUGACGCAGCAACGCGGCGUGAGUGAAGACGGUUUUCGGUUCGUAAAGCUCUGUUGUUAGAGAAGAACAUGUGUUAGAGGAACUGUUAGCGGCUUGACGGUAGCUAACCAGAAAGCCACGGCUAGCUACGUG